UUCUUAGAGAUUUUUUACAAACCUGGAUCUACCUUUGAACUUAGCUUCUGCAAUGAAGUUGGAUAUGAAGAAUGCAUAACAGGCUUCCAGUGGGGUUAGUUUCUCAUUUCAAUUGCUGUGAUAAUUGAACAAAGGACUGGAUGGACCAGGCCAAACUUGGGAGCCAGAAGCUUAAUCUAGUAUUCCCAGGCCAUUAAUGGAGAGCUGUAUCAGAAGUGGAGCAAUCAGGACUUGAAACAGCACCCAGAUGGGAAGACGCCAGUUUUACCCAUUAACGCCACAGCGCCACCCCAGAUUGGACUGAUCUUACAACUUUUUUCUCAGCCAUGGCAUUGUAUCUGUGUAUACAAAGGCUAUUGAUUUUUGUGUGUUGAUUUUAUAUCUUGCAACUUCACCAAACUUCUAAGUCCAAUAGUCUCUUAGUGCAGUCUUUUGGUUUACCUAUAUGUGUAAUCAUGUCAUCUGCUAACUGGGGUAACUUGACUUCUUCCUUUCCAAUUUAUAUCCCUUUUAUUUCCUUUUCUUGUGUAAUGGCUCUUGCUAAAACUUCCAGGACUGUAUUGAAAGUGGGCAUCCUUGUCAGGUUCCACAUCUUACUGGAAAUGCUUCCAAUUUUUCUCCUACUCAAUAUGAUGCUGGUUGUGGGUUUGUCAUAUAUUGCCUUGAUUGUGUUGAGGAAUGUUGCUUCUAUACCCAAUUUGUUUGAGGUCCUCUUCAUAAAAGGAUGUUGUAUUUUGUCAAAUACUUUCUCUGUAUCUAUUCAGAUAAUCAUAUAUUGGUUUUUUUGAAGAUUCAGUUUAUUUAUUUGAGUGGCAGACUUACAGACAGAGAAAGGGAGAAACAGAGAAAGGUUUUCCAUCUGCUGAUUCACUCCCCAAAUGUCUUUAACAGCUGGAGCUAGGCUGUUCUGAAGCCUGGGGCCAGGAGCUUCUUCCCAAUCUCCCAUGUGGGUGUGGGCCCAAAUAUUUGGUACAUUUUCCACUGCUUUCCCAGGCCAUUAGCAGAGAGCUGGAUUAGAAGAACAGCUGGUAAAGGAACUGGCAACCAUAUGGGAUGCCUAUUACGCCUCAUUGCUGGUCCCAAUCAUAUGGUUUUUAUUCUUCAGUUUGCUAUUGCCAUUACAGUUAUUGAUCUAAAUAAAUCACAUUUAUUGAUUUGCGUAUGUUAAGCCAGCCUUGCAUACCAGGGAUAAAUCUCACUUGGUCCAGGUGAAUGAUCUUUCAGAGGUGUUGUUGGAUUCAAAUAGCUAAUAUUUUGUUGAGUACUUUUGCACCUAUGUUCAUCAGUAAAAUUCUUCCUCUUUCUUUGUUGUAUCUUUUUCUGAUUUUGGAAUUAAGGUUAUGCUAAUCUCAUAGAAGGAGUUUGGGAAGAUUCCCUCAUUACAAUUGUUUUGAAUAGUUUGAGAAUUGAAAUUAAUUCUUUAAAAAGUUUGGUAGAAUUUAGCAGUGAAGCCAUCUAGUCCUGGGUUUUCUUUGUCGGCGGCGCGGCGGGGUGGGGGGGUCUUUAUUACUAUUUCAAUUUU
Molecule: non-coding RNA, 1522 nt
Organism: Oryctolagus cuniculus (rabbit)
Lineage: Eukaryota; Metazoa; Chordata; Mammalia; Lagomorpha; Leporidae
Source: RefSeq, a predicted model, not a curated record